AUUGAACGCUGGCGGCAGGCCUAACACAUGCAAGUCGAACGAGUGGCGGACGGGUGAGUAAUGUCUGGGAAACUGCCCGAUGGAGGGGGAUAACUACUGGAAACGGUAGCUAAUACCGCAUACCAUCGGAUGUGCCCAGAGGGGAUUAGCUAGUAGGUGGGGUAACGGCUAACCUAGGCGACGAUCCCUAGCUGGUCUGAGAGGAUGACCAGCCACACUGGAACUGAGACACGGUCCAGACUCCUACGGGAGGCAGCAGUGGGGAAUAUUGCACAAUGGGCUCAAGCCUGAUUCAUCCAUGCCGCGUGUAUGAAGAAGUCCUUCGGGUUGUAAAUUACUUUCAGCGAGGAGGCGUUACUCGCAGAAGAAGCACCGGCUAACUCCGUGCCAGCCGCCGCGGUAAUAC
RNAcentral lists this ribosomal RNA (406 nucleotides) under uncultured bacterium. Its description in RNAcentral is "partial 16S ribosomal RNA". It matches the Rfam family "Bacterial small subunit ribosomal RNA", at positions 30 to 526 of the family's 1533-position model. The record is from RNAcentral.